UUAAAACUCAAAGGACUUGGCGGUGCUUUAUACCCUUCUAGAGGAGCCUGUUCUAUAAUCGAUAAACCCCGAUAAACCUCACCAUUCCUUGCUAAUCCAGUCUAUAUACCGCCAUCUUCAGCAAACCCUAAAAAGGUACAAAAGUAAGCACAAUCAUAAUACAUAAAGACGUUAGGUCAAGGUGUAACCUAUGGAAUGGAAAGAAAUGGGCUACAUUUUCUAAUAUAAGAAAAUCCACUACGAAAGUUAUUAUGAAAUUAGUAACCAAAGGAGGAUUUAGCAGUAAACUAAGAAUAGAGUGCUUAGUUGAAUUAGGCCAUGAAGCACGCACACACCGCC
RNAcentral lists this ribosomal RNA (339 nucleotides) under Axis axis (chital). Its description in RNAcentral is "partial 12S ribosomal RNA". It matches the Rfam family "Bacterial small subunit ribosomal RNA", at positions 894 to 1394 of the family's 1533-position model. The record is from RNAcentral. Lineage: Eukaryota; Metazoa; Chordata; Mammalia; Artiodactyla; Cervidae.